CAGUCGCCGCGGGAAAACGAAGGGGGCUAGCGUUGCUCGGAAUGACUGGGCGUAAAGGGCGCGUAGGCGGUUCACGCAGUCAGAUGUGAAAUUCCUGGGCUUAACCUGGGGGCUGCAUUUGAGACGCGUGGGCUUGAGUGUGAAAGAGGGUCGUGGAAUUCCCAGUGUAGAGGUGAAAUUCGUAGAUAUUGGGAAGAACACCGGUGGCGAAGGCGGCGACCUGGUUCACAACUGACGCUGAGGCGCGAAAGCGUGGGGAGCAAACAGGAUUAGAUACCCGAGUAGUCCCUGUCUCUUAUAC
This 301-nucleotide ribosomal RNA is filed under the name uncultured bacterium. Its description in RNAcentral is "partial 16S ribosomal RNA". It matches the Rfam family "Bacterial small subunit ribosomal RNA", at positions 509 to 807 of the family's 1533-position model. The record is from RNAcentral.